AGGAUCAUUAUUGAACGAAAAGGGUGGCAAGGCUGUCGCUGGCUUGAAUGAGCAUGUGCACGUCUUUUGCUGCUGAUUUCAUUCUAUUUCCACCUGUGCACUUUUUGUAGACACUUGGGAAUGAGAGGUUGAAUUGAUUGACUUCUUGAUAGUGAAAAGUCUGGGUGUCUAUGCAUUUUUAUAUACACAGUUGCAUGUCUAUAGAAUGAUGUUGUAGGCUUUUUGUAAGCCUUUAAAUGAUAAAGUACAACUUUCAACAACGGAUCUCUUGGCUCUCGCAUCGAUGAAGAACGCAGCGAAAUGCGAUAAGUAAUGUGAAUUGCAGAAUUCAGUGAAUCAUCGAAUCUUUGAACGCAUCUUGCGCUCCUUGGUAUUCCGAGGAGCAUGCCUGUUUGAGUGUCAUUAAGUAUCUCAAAAGCUUAUGCCUAUUUUGUGGCAUGGGACUUUUGGACAAUGGGAGUUGCCGGUCACUGACAAAACGUGGCGGGCUCUUCUGAAAAGUAUUAGUUGAGGAGCUUUGCACUCUAUUGGUGUGAUAGAUUAUCUAUGCCAGGAGAUGCUUUAUGUAUGAUCCUCUGCUGUCUAACUGUCUUUAUUGGACAAACAUGAUGAACUUGACCUCAAAUCAGGUAGGACUACCCGCUGAACUUAAGCAUAUCAAUAAGCGGAGGAAAAGAAACUAACAAGGAUUCCCUUAGUAACUGCGAGUGAAGAGGGAAAAGCUCAAAUUUAAAAUCUGGCAGUGUUUCACUGUCCGAGUUGUAACCUAGAGAAGUGUAACCUGCACUGGACCGUGUACAAGUCUCCUGGAAUGGAGCAUCACAGAGGGUGAGAAUCCCGUCUUUGACAUGGACUGCCAGUGCAUUGUGGUUGUGCUCUCAACGAGUCGAGUUGUUUGGGAAUGCAGCUCUAAAUGGGUGGUAAAUUCCAUCUAAAGCUAAAUAUUGGCGAGAGACCGAUAGCGAACAAGUACCGUGAGGGAAAGAUGAAAAGAACUUUGGAAAGAGAGUUAAACAGUAUGUGAAAUUGUUGAAAGGGAAACGUUUGAAGUCAGUCGCAUUGGCUGGGGAUCAACCUGACUUUUUGUUAGGUGUACUUCCUGGUUGAUGGGUCAACAUCAGUUUUGACUGUCAGAAAAAGGUCAAGAGAAUGUGGCACCUUUGGGUGUGUUAUAGCUCUUGGUCGUAUAUGAUGGUUGGGACUGAGGAAAGCAGUGUGCCGAAAGGCCGGGUU
RNAcentral lists this ribosomal RNA (1233 nucleotides) under Amanita aff. spissacea 2B6. RNAcentral's name for it is "eukaryotic LSU rRNA". The stretch from base 616 to 1233 matches the Rfam family "Eukaryotic large subunit ribosomal RNA", at positions 1 to 617 of the family's 3401-position model. Lineage: Eukaryota; Fungi; Basidiomycota; Agaricomycetes; Agaricales; Amanitaceae. The record is from RNAcentral.